Molecule: non-coding RNA, 74 nt
Organism: Schizosaccharomyces pombe (fission yeast)
Lineage: Eukaryota; Fungi; Ascomycota; Schizosaccharomycetes; Schizosaccharomycetales; Schizosaccharomycetaceae
Source: Rfam
GGUCGGGUAGCAUAGUUGGUUAUUGCGCACGACUGUUAAUCGUGAGGUCGAGGGUUCGAGUCCCUCCCUGACCG